CUUUUCCGCGCCGCCGAGUCGGAGCCGCGCCGCACGCCCAGCGGCCGCCCGGACCCGCCGGCCGGAGCUGACCCAGUGGGCCACGGGCUCCGGACUCCAGAACUUUCCAAGCGGGGGCAACUUGGCGGCGGGUAGGUAGGAAAGGCAGAUUGUUCCUGCCUGAUUCAUAAGCAUCGUGAUUGGCUUUUGAUUGCUGUCACGUCUAAUGUGGCUGCUGCCUCGUGUCACAUCUGAAACUCAUCUGUACCUCACUUAGAAAGUGGUUCUGAUUAGACAAGACUUUUCGUUGCAGUCGACAGAAACCUAAUGGGACCAUUGAAGAAUUCCAAACAGGUAUUUGCAUAGGAAUCAGAGGAGUUAAUCUUGUUUGAAUCUUCAGACAAACUUCUGGGAGGACUCGGUCCCUGCCUCGCAGCAGAUGUUCCCUGUCACUCAGUAGCCAAUCCGGGGGACCCAGGACAUGCCCCAGCUAUAGUGAUGCAGAUUACCUUUCUGCUCCUGAAUCGCACCUGUGCCUCAGACUUUCUCCCCUCAGCUUGAGACUGCAUGUAAACUG
Molecule: small RNA, 556 nt
Filed under: Pan troglodytes (chimpanzee)
Lineage: Eukaryota; Metazoa; Chordata; Mammalia; Primates; Hominidae
Description: processed transcript
Source: RNAcentral